Molecule: transfer RNA, 67 nt
Filed under: Marmota monax (woodchuck)
Lineage: Eukaryota; Metazoa; Chordata; Mammalia; Rodentia; Sciuridae
Description: tRNA.Ala
Source: RNAcentral
GGUUGUGGCUCAGUGGUAGAGUGCUUGCCUAGCAUGUGUGAAGCACUGGGUUCGAUCCUCAGCACCA